RNAcentral lists this ribosomal RNA (624 nucleotides) under uncultured fungus. RNAcentral's name for it is "eukaryotic LSU rRNA". It matches the Rfam family "Eukaryotic large subunit ribosomal RNA", at positions 24 to 664 of the family's 3401-position model. The record is from RNAcentral. Lineage: Eukaryota; Fungi.
CCCGCUGAACUUAAGCAUAUCAAUAAGCGGAGGAAAAGAAACCAACAGGGAUUACCCUAGUAACGGCGAGUGAAGCGGUAACAGCUCAAAUUUAAAAUCUGGCCUUCACGGGUCCGAGUUGUAAUUUGUAGAGGAUGUUUCGGACAAGGCUGUGGUUUAAGUUUCUUGGAACAGAACGUCACAGAGGGUGAGGGUCCCGUCUAGAACCAAUGGCCGCGUCCAUGUGAAACUCCUUCGACGAGUCGAGUUGUUUGGGAAUGCAGCUCAAAAUGGGUGGUAAAUUUCAUCUAAAGCUAAAUAUUGGCCAGAGACCGAUAGCGCACAAGUAGAGUGAUCGAAAGAUGAAAAGCACUUUGAAAAGAGAGUUAAACAGUAUGUGAAAUUGUUGAAAGGGAAGCGCUGGCAACCAGACUUGUGUGUGGCGGCUCCCCCAGUCUUCUGACUGGGUUAUUCUGCCAUAACCAGGCCAGCAUCGAUUUAGGUGGCCAGUCAAAGGCUCGGGGAAUGUAUCUACCUUCGGGUCGACUUAUAGCCCCGGGUGGAAUGUGGCCUACUUGGAUCGAGGAACGCGCUCUUGCCCGGAUGUUGGCGUAAUGGUUGUCAGCGGCCCGUCUUGAAACACGG